Molecule: non-coding RNA, 1657 nt
Organism: Dipodomys spectabilis (banner-tailed kangaroo rat)
Lineage: Eukaryota; Metazoa; Chordata; Mammalia; Rodentia; Heteromyidae
Source: the annotation of a RefSeq genome assembly
GGCUCAGAUCUGAACUUGCCUUGAUCUGUCAAGACUCCUCAUUUUACUCCAAAAAUGAAGUCCUUGUCUCAGCUCCUGUGGCUGUUAAUGCUCUGGAUCCCUGGUUCCAGUGGAGAUGUUGUGAUGACCCAGACCCCGAGUUCCCUACCUGUCACCCUGGGACAGCUGGCUUCCAUCUCCUGCAGGUCUAGUCAGAGCCUUCUGUAUAGCGAUGGAAACACCUAUUUGGACUGGUAUCUGCAGAAGCCAGGCCAGUCUCCACAACCUCUGAUCUAUUUGGUUUCCAAACGAGCAUCUGGGGUCCCAGACAGAUUCAGUGGCAGUGGGUCAGGCACAGAUUUCACACUGACAAUCAGCAGGGUGGAAGCUGGGGAUGUUGGAGUUUAUUACUGCAUGCAAGCUACACAUGAUCCUCCCACAGUGAUACAGCCUUGAACAAAAACCUCCCAUCUGGCUGGGUGAGCUGCCCUCAUGGCUGGCUGGUCUGGGGAGCAGCCCAGCAGAUUUUGUGAGUCUGCCUAGGAGGAAGAUGUUGAGAUCAAUGUGAGAGUGACUCUGAGUGGAAAUGAAGAAUCUGUGACAAUAUGACAAAAUACAAUCUAUAAUGACCAGGAGAACAAUUAUCUGAAUAUAAAGACCAGGAGACUUCAGAUAAACCGUAAGGAAUUUUUGAAAAAUUUCUCUCUUUAGUAGUAUUAGAACCAACCAAUGAUCUAUGAAUCAAAUGAAUCUUUGUAAUGAAAUUCUUAAUACUUCCUUCAAGCACAUCGAAGCCUACAACUUUAGCAUAUCCUGUGCUUUCUGUUCAGAAGAAGCCCAGUUCUACCUUAUCUAGCUUCUUCUCUGUGUCCAUCAAACCCUGCCUAACCAUCAAGCCAUUAGCAGAGUUUUAUCAUUGACUCUUGGUUGGAUCAACCUGAGAAAGAUACAAAAUUGCACAUAGCCAGUUGUCUCUGCAUUCUCUGUCCUGGGGAUCAGGAUCUAAUUAAGAGAGUGGAUUGGGGUCAAGCCUGGGAAUAUGCUUCAUAUGUCCCAGAAGUCUGAGACUGAGCCCUUGUUCAAUGGGCACAGCAUUCACAGUCCAACCUGUUCAACCUCAGUGACUUCAUAUAAAAACCAUGUCAAGAGGGAAUCUUUCAUAUUUAAGUGUUUCUGGUAUCCAUUUCCAUCACUUUCAACAUUUAUCAUUUCCUUGUAAUGGGCCUUUCAGAGGCCUAGAACUAUGACAUUGCACAGGCUGGGACUUGGGGGAUACUCUGACCUCUACCAGUGCCCAGUGUGCAUCUACCUCAGCUUGUGUAAACUGUUUCUGCAUGAUGCUCUCAAUGCCAUUUGGGAAGAAAGUAACAUGACAUUGGAAAUGCUCUGAGCUCAUAGGAAAAAAUAUAGGUCUGGAAUGUAUAUUAACAAAUGGAAUGGCCUUAAGUCACUCUUGGGAAUAUCUUAACAGGAAUAGUUAAUGCCAAGUUUAUCCACAACUGUAAUAUUCUGUAGAAGACUAGUCAGAACAAAAUCUCAGCUCACACCUCUGUCCAGGCAUUUUACCAGCGUACACAAAGUCACCUCUCUGAUUUUCAAUUCUCACUAGGCUCCUCAUUGUAUAAGUCUGUGUGAGUCAUCAGAAAAGAAAAAUAAAUUAUCACUGUGCCUCUACUAG